Long non-coding RNA from Cyanistes caeruleus (blue tit), 813 nucleotides. RefSeq lists it as uncharacterized. The record is from RefSeq and is a predicted model, not a curated record. Lineage: Eukaryota; Metazoa; Chordata; Aves; Passeriformes; Paridae.
UGGGGAUGUGGGGAAUCCCUAACAGCACAUUUCUGGCUGCCCAGGCCUGCAUGGAUACUAUGGCAGUACAUAAGGAACACUAAUGUUUCAGGCGAAGUCCACUUCUGGCUUCUUCUGUUCCCUACUCUGGCUCAGGAACAUUCUCCUCCUGCCUGGAACUCCUACGUGAGUACAAACAGGGCACAUGAACAUAAACACUGAAGAACAUGAAGAACAUGGAGAACGUGAACAUUUUGCCCCAAAGAGACCUGUCACUGUCUCACAGCUUCAUGCAGCUACAAAUCGUGUGGGAAUGAAUAGCUCUGCAAACAUCAAGAACUGUAAGAUGAUGACAAUAUAUAUGUAGUGGAAAUGCCAAGAUUGGAAUAAUGCUUAGUUUACCAUGAUGCAACAGGAUGAUCCUACUGGUUAGUCAAGUGAAAUUUGUCACAGAUAAAAUAAACAGAAGAGCUGGUAGAGGAUUCAUUUAAUAAAGAAUUAAACUUGAAGGGUGUGAUUAACGUCAAUUAAGAUCAUAUUUUUUACAAAAAACCCUAAUUUUUUAAAGAGACAAAAAUCAGGACAAUAAACGUGUAGAUACAAUGUACUGAAGACUUAUAAGUGAUAAGAUAAUAUCACACCUAAAAGUUCUGCACAUUUAAUGAAAAAAAAUAGGUAACUUACAGAUCUUGGAAAGAAAUUGUUAAUAAAAACAAGACUCAAAGUGAAAUAUUUCUAACAGAAUUUGUCAGAGAUUUUAAGUCUCUGCUAGAAAAUAAUUUUGUCAUAACACAGGAAAAAAUAUGGCACUAAAAUUGUUUUAAUUUGCCUUGG